This is a long non-coding RNA of Homo sapiens (human), 1985 nucleotides long. Ensembl annotates it as PAXIP1 antisense RNA 2. Its record names the gene PAXIP1-AS2. The record is from Ensembl. NCBI's taxonomy places the organism in Eukaryota, Metazoa, Chordata, Mammalia, Primates, Hominidae.
AAUGACGCGAAACUCCUGCCUUAAAGCCCUAAAUGGCGGCUUCAAUAUCAGUCCCACUGAGCAUGAAAUUCAUUUACUUAAAUAAAAUCUGAAUCUCAGCCCAAACCUGGGAGAUUCAAAACCUGAGAGCGGUCUUACCAAAGACGCCCGUAUGUCUGGUGAAGUCAGUUGGAUGCAAGCAGUUUGUGCUGGUACCAGGGCCCCAGCUACUGAUGAAGUGGCAGGAGUCCACAGAAGCCUACUUCGAAGUUCCCGGGGCUUCCAGGGGAGAUUGACGAGAUUCCUGGGGAGGCGAUUCAUGACAGCUGAGUUCCUUUUGGAGGAUCCGUCUUCAGGCAGUCUGAUCCCCCAGGAAAGCAGCUGGAAAACAAGAGCAUGUGAAGGAAGCGCAGCAGCUCCUCGCCAGCCAGACAGCCAGCCCCGCACCGCAGGAGUCGACAUGCACGGCAGCCUAGACGCCAUCAGUUAAACUUAUAUGUAGGCUUGUUGAGGAAAACGACUUUCAAACACAAGGCAAAAGAAAAACAUGAAACCAAGGGUUCCAACAUUCAUCAUCCAGUUUCAGAGACACCCUUGAAGGAAUGCUACAGCCUCUUUCUUACCCAUUCAAACCAGUCGCUCUGCUGCAUACCCACAUCACAGGAGGCCCUCAGCCCCGACACACAGGCUCACUCAGCCCGGGGACAUCAGCACCUGUGCCAGCUCCGCAAGGUAUCCACCAUGCGGCCAGAACUGAGGCCCAGCAAUAGCUGAAAUGUCCUUUAAAUUAACAUGUACAACACACAACCCCCAAGAGCUGACAUCCCCAAAGCCCCACCACAAAUAGCUGACUCCUACUUAUACCUGCAGGAGCAGGUAGUGACCUCUGCAAUUCUAAACCGUCCACUUUGGGCAAAAUUCAUCAAGCUAUGGAUAUGAAAAAAGGCCCCCAAGGAUAUGAUUCAUAGUCCAGCGUUUGAGUGAGCACUCCAGUCAGAACGAACUCUGCAUUGUGAACAUCUGAACAGGGUGGAAACAGACACUUUAGUUAGAGAUCCACUGCUGUGCGUGCACACAUACUCACACAGGGCAAUGACGGACUCGCUGGCGGACUCCACUCUACCCACCGAGUUCUGCUUGUGCUCCAUGAGCUUCCGGAAAGAUGGCUGCUUGGAUAACACCUUUCCUCCUGCACACUCUACGAUUGCCUUCAUAGUGGAAAGACUUGGGCAGAUUCCAGGUGUGAUGUAAAAAUAUUUUGCCUAAAAUUAAAUGAAAAUAUAUGUAUUAUGUUCUUAAAAUGCUUUAAUUUUUAGAGUACAUAAUUCUCAUAGAUUCUGCCCUGAGAUUUUUGACAAAAUUUCAAAUUUUAUGACAUUAUGAAGGUACUAUUCUCCUACUAGCACUCAAUCUGAAGUGGAAGAGGAAUCCAGCUAUGUAAAUUUGGAAUGUAAGCAUUUUCACAUGUUAAGUAUGCCUGAAGAUGAUUUAAAGUAACCAGAACUUAAGUCCCUAAAACAAAGUGUUUUGUGAAUAAGCAAGAAUAUUACAAAUAUUUUUCACAAUUUCUAUACAAUUUUAAAUCAGCAUUAUAUUUCACCACACUUAUCUGCCCAGCAACAGCCUCUGGCAUAGCAUGCUGCCUGGCUUAUAUCCCUUUUCUUUAUUUUCUCCAUAUUAUUUGAACUCAGAGCAGGAAAUGAUAUUGAUGCUUAAGAUUUAAUUAUCUAACAAGAUUGCUCCUGAGGAUACCACAAAAUACUAUUCUGUCUGAAACUGCAAAUAAUUUCUAAUUCCUGUUGACUCCUUAAGAAGGUUAAAGAACCGAUUAUCUUUAUUGAUUUACUUAGUUCUUUGGUACAAAAAAAAUUCCUAGCUGUUCUAACACUUAUCUAACAUUUAAAAAUCUUUUAGUACUGAAUUAUAUCUAUGCACACACUGAAUAUUUUCCCAAGUAUCUUCUCCAGCUGAAUAUACAUUUACUGACAAUAGUACGAAGUAAGCGA